AGCGAACGCUGGCGGCAGGCCUAACACAUGCAAGUCGAACGAACUCUUCGGAGUUAGUGGCGGACGGGUGAGUAACACGUGGGAACGUGCCUUUAGGUUCGGAAUAACUCAGGGAAACUUGUGCUAAUACCGAAUGUGCCCUUCGGGGGAAAGAUUUAUCGCCUUUAGAGCGGCCCGCGUCUGAUUAGCUAGUUGGUGGGGUAAUGGCCCACCAAGGCUACGAUCAGUAGCUGGUCUGAGAGGAUGACCAGCCACAUUGGGACUGAGACACGGCCCAAACUCCUACGGGAGGCAGCAGUGGGGAAUCUUGCGCAAUGGGCGAAAGCCUGACGCAGCCAUGCCGCGUGGAUGAUGAAGGUCUUAGGAUUGUAAAAUCCUUUCACCGGUGAAGAUAAUGACUGUAGCCGGAGAAGAAGCCCCGGCUAACUUCGUGCCAGCAGCCGCGGUAAUACGAAGGGGGCUAGCGUUGCUCGGAAUUACUGGGCGUAAAGGGAGCGUAGGCGGACAUUUAAGUCAGGGGUGAAAUCCCGAGGCUCAACCUCGGAACUGCCUUUGAUACUGGAUGUCUUGAGUGUGAGAGAGGUAUGUGGAACUCCGAGU
Molecule: ribosomal RNA, 600 nt
Filed under: uncultured Brevundimonas sp.
Lineage: Bacteria; Pseudomonadati; Pseudomonadota; Alphaproteobacteria; Caulobacterales; Caulobacteraceae
Description: bacterial SSU rRNA
Rfam family: Bacterial small subunit ribosomal RNA
Source: RNAcentral